Molecule: non-coding RNA, 421 nt
Organism: Lolium perenne
Lineage: Eukaryota; Viridiplantae; Streptophyta; Magnoliopsida; Poales; Poaceae
Source: RefSeq, a predicted model, not a curated record
UCAAGUUGUUCAACAAAAAGAUGCGUCGCAGAUCUCAGAAACUGGGUUUUCACAAUUACAUCAGUCCGGAGUGUUGCACAUUAAGAAGGCUGCAACUCAGAGUGAUGUUAAUUCGGUUCACAUGUCUCAAGCUUCUACAGGUUUUUUAGGGUGUUGAGAGCAUGUCCCAUCGAGCAACCUAACCAGCACACAUAUAAAAGUCUCGGAUGAAGGGAAGAGGUGCACACCCGGAAUAUGUCAAUGUCAUGCUUUUUUAGGCCCCUGAUUAGAUGACAAGAGUGCACCAUUCUGUGGCUCGCUUUCAUGGCUGGAGGCGAGCGCAUGUGAGCUGGUACCAAGCAUGGCACCCCAUGUAGAAGUUGUCGCUGCUUUCAUGGCUGCGAAAGCUGAUAAUAUGCACAUAAGGAUAAGAGGCUGACAA